GUAAAACUCCGGUGGUGUGAGAUGGGCCCGCGUCUGAUUAGUUAGUUGGCGGGGUAACGGCCCACCAAGGCGACGAUCAGUAGCCGACCUGAGAGGGUGACCGGCCACAUUGGGACUGAGACACGGCCCAAACUCCUACGGGAGGCAGCAGUGGGGAAUAUUGCACAAUGGGGGAAACCCUGAUGCAGCGACGCCGCGUGAGCGAAGAAGUAUUUCGGUAUGUAAAGGUCUAUCAGCAAGGAAGAAGAAAGACGGUACUUGACUAAGAAGUCCCGGCUAACUAC
Molecule: ribosomal RNA, 284 nt
Filed under: uncultured bacterium
Lineage: Bacteria
Description: partial 16S ribosomal RNA
Rfam family: Bacterial small subunit ribosomal RNA
Source: RNAcentral